This is a long non-coding RNA of Myripristis murdjan (pinecone soldierfish), 548 nucleotides long. RefSeq lists it as uncharacterized. The transcript is spliced from 4 exons. The record is from RefSeq and is a predicted model, not a curated record. NCBI's taxonomy places the organism in Eukaryota, Metazoa, Chordata, Actinopteri, Holocentriformes, Holocentridae.
GUGCACAUGUGUAGGGCCUCACACCACAUGCACACGGUUGUUCACACCCCUCAGCACCCUCAGCACCCUGGAGAAGAAGCGCCUCACCCUGCCCGGCUUCUUCUUCUUCUCAGGCUGGGUGACGUCUGAAAAUCACAAGAGGACAGUCAGUGGCAGCAGCAGCCUUGGUGGAGGCAGCCAGAGUGUGGAAGGAGUCACGAUUUUAUUCGUGUCCUGUUCGAGGCAUCGGACCAGAGUUCCAAAGGCGCCCUCACCCAAUCUGCCCAGCUCCACAUAGUUGUUGGACCUAUGGGAGCCUUCAGUGGAGACCGAGAGGGGAGGGGCCGUCAGGAUGGGAACAGUGCUGAAUGCUGAGUGUGCUGCUGCUAAAACAUUUGCCGUGAACUCUGCAACAGGAUGGUUUCUCUCAGUAUGGAUUCACCCUGGAGCCACAGGGCUGCUGUUGCCAUAUUCUGGACAGAAUUUGUCAUCUGUUUGUGUUAUUAGAUUUAUAUCAAAAAUAACACUGUGACAGUUCGAGUUUAAAAAAUGUUAAUUCGAUAUUUUUU